This 497-nucleotide ribosomal RNA is filed under the name uncultured bacterium. RNAcentral describes it as "partial 16S ribosomal RNA". It matches the Rfam family "Bacterial small subunit ribosomal RNA", at positions 28 to 507 of the family's 1533-position model. The record is from RNAcentral.
GAUGAACGCUGGCGGCGUGCCUAAUACAUGCAAGUCGAGCGAACGGACGAUAAGCUUGUUCUUCUGAUGUUAGCGGCGGGCGGGUGAGUAACACGUGGAUAACCUACUUCUAUGACUGGGAUAACUUCGUGAAACCGCAGCUACUACUGGAUCAUAUUUUGUACCGCAUGAUUCAAAAGUUAAAGACGGUCUUGCUGAUACUUAUAGACGGAUCCGCGCUGCAUAAGCUAGUUGGUAAGGUAACGGCUUACCAAGGCAACGAUGCAUAGCCGACCUGAGAGGAUGAUCGGCCACACUGGAACUGAGACACGGUCCAGACUCCUACGGGAGGCAGCAGUAGGGAAUCUUCGGCAAUGGGCGAAAGCCUGACGGAGCAACGCCGCGUGAGUGAUGAAGGCCUUCGGGUCGUAAAACUCUGUUAUUGGGGAAGAACAGAUGUGUAAGUAACUGUGCAUAUCUUGACGGUACCUAAACAGAAAGCACCGGCUAACUACGUG